AGCGAACGCUGGCGGCAGGCUUAACACAUGCAAGUCGAGCGGGCGUAGCAAAGUACGUCAGCGGCAGACGGGUGAGUAACGCGUGGGAACGUACCUUUUGGUUCGGAACAACACAGGAAAAACUUGUGCUAAUACCGGAUAAGCCCUUACGGGGAAAGAUUUAUCGCCGAAAGAUCGGCCCGCGUCUGAUUAGCUAGUUGGUAGGGUAAUGGCCUACCAAGGCGACGAUCGGUAGCCGGACUGAGAGGUUGAACGGCCACAUUGGGGACUGAGACACGGCCCAG
RNAcentral lists this ribosomal RNA (284 nucleotides) under uncultured bacterium. RNAcentral describes it as "partial 16S ribosomal RNA". It matches the Rfam family "Bacterial small subunit ribosomal RNA", at positions 29 to 334 of the family's 1533-position model. The record is from RNAcentral.